CAGUGCAACUGGGAGAACUUAGUUCAGGAACAAUUAGAUCUUGGGCAUAUUGAACCCUCCACCAGCCCUCACAACAUGCCUAUCUUUGUAAUCCUCAAGCAAAAAUGAGAAACAUAUGUUACUUCAAGAUUUAAGGCCAAUAAAUAAACAUAUGAAAAGGAUAGGUUCAUUUAUAUCAGGUAUUCCUCAUCCAGCCAGCAUCCCAAGCAACUAUUUUAUUGUUGCCAUAUAACUCAAGGAUUGCUUCCUUUCCAUACAUAUAGCACAUCAGGACAGACCCUUUUUUGCAUUUAC
RNAcentral lists this small RNA (294 nucleotides) under Marmota monax (woodchuck). Lineage: Eukaryota; Metazoa; Chordata; Mammalia; Rodentia; Sciuridae. The record is from RNAcentral.